CCUACGGGUGGCUGCAGUGGGGAAUAUUGCACAAUGGGCGCAAGCCUGAUGCAGCCAUGCCGCGUGUGUGAAGAAGGCCUUCGGGUUGUAAAGCACUUUCAGCGGGGAGGAAGGCGUUAAGGUUAAUAACCUUGGCGAUUGACGUUACCCGCAGAAGAAGCACCGGCUAACUCCGUGCCAGCAGCCGCGGUAAUACGGAGGGUGCAAGCGUUAAUCGGAAUUACUGGGCGUAAAGCGCACGCAGGCGGUCUGUCAAGUCGGAUGUGAAAUCCCCGGGCUCAACCUGGGAACUGCAUUCGAAACUUGCAGGCUAGAGUCUUGUAGAGGGGGGUAGAAUUCCAGGUGUAGCGGUGAAAUGCGUAGAGAUCUGGAGGAAUACCGGUGGCGAAGGCGGCCCCCUGGACAAAGACUGACGCUCAGGUGCGAAAGCGUGGGGAGCAAACAGGAUUAGAUACCCGUGUAGUC
RNAcentral lists this ribosomal RNA (465 nucleotides) under uncultured Klebsiella sp. Its description in RNAcentral is "bacterial SSU rRNA". It matches the Rfam family "Bacterial small subunit ribosomal RNA", at positions 338 to 795 of the family's 1533-position model. Lineage: Bacteria; Pseudomonadati; Pseudomonadota; Gammaproteobacteria; Enterobacterales; Enterobacteriaceae. The record is from RNAcentral.